This 203-nucleotide unclassified non-coding RNA is filed under the name uncultured Russula. RNAcentral describes it as "sequence contains ITS1". Lineage: Eukaryota; Fungi; Basidiomycota; Agaricomycetes; Russulales; Russulaceae. The record is from RNAcentral.
AUGAAAUGCAAGGACGCUCUUUUUAGAGGUGCUAGGGCUGUCGCUAUCUUUGUGCACGCCCUGGUGCUCUCUCACAAUCCAUAUCACCCCUUGUGCAUCACCGUGUGGGUGCUCUCCUUUCUAAAAAGGGAGCAUUUGCACUUUUACACAGACCCACUGCAUGUCUAGAAUGUCUUAGUAUUUGCGAUAAUAUGCAAUCAAUA